Molecule: ribosomal RNA, 508 nt
Filed under: uncultured bacterium
Lineage: Bacteria
Description: partial 16S ribosomal RNA
Rfam family: Bacterial small subunit ribosomal RNA
Source: RNAcentral
GACGAACGCUGGCGGCGCGCUUAACACAUGCAAGUCGAGCGAGAACCGGACCUUCGGGUCCGGGGAAAGCGGCGAACGGGUGAGUAACACGUGGGUAACCCACCCUUGGUACUGGGAUAGCCCGGGGAAACCCGGAUUAAUACCGGAUGGCCCAACAGCUCUUCGGGGCGGUUGGAAAAGGUAGCUUCGGCCUCCGACCAAGGACGGGCCCGCGGCGGAUUAGCUUGUUGGGGGGGUAACGGCCAACCAAGGCGACGAUCCGUAGCUGGUCUGAGAGGACGAUCAGCCACACUGGGACUGAGACACGGCCCAGACUCCUACGGGAGGCAGCAGUGGGGAAUCUUGCGCAAUGGGCGAAAGCCUGACGCAGCGACGCCGCGUGGGGGAAGAAGGCUUUCGGGUUGUAAACCCCUUUCAGGAAGGACGAAGCCACUCGGGUGAAUAGCCCAGAGGGUGACGGUACUUCCAGAAGAAGCCCCGGCUAACUACGUGCCAGCCGCCGCAGUAA